GGGUGCAUAGCUCAGCGGUAGAGCACUCGCCUUACAAGCGAGGGGUCACUGGUUCGAACCCAGUUGCGCCCA
Molecule: transfer RNA, 72 nt
Filed under: Streptosporangiaceae bacterium
Lineage: Bacteria; Bacillati; Actinomycetota; Actinomycetes; Streptosporangiales; Streptosporangiaceae
Also listed under: 2 other names
Description: tRNA-Val
Rfam family: tRNA
About the family: Transfer RNA (tRNA) molecules are approximately 80 nucleotides in length. Their secondary structure includes four short double-helical elements and three loops (D, anti-codon, and T loops).
Source: RNAcentral